UACAGAGGUCUCAACCGUUGUUCGGAUUCAUUGGGCGUAAAGGGUGCGUAGGCGGUCGUGCAAGUCGGAUGUGAAAUCUCAGGGCUCAACCCUGAAACUGCAUUCGAUACUGCGUGGCUAGAGUGCUGGAGAGGAGACUGGAAUUUACGGUGUAGCAGUGAAAUGCGUAGAUAUCGGAAGGAAGACCGGUGGCGAAGGCGAGUCUCUGGACAGCAACUGACGCUGAGGCACGAAGGCCAGGGGAGCAAACGGG
This 253-nucleotide ribosomal RNA is filed under the name uncultured bacterium. RNAcentral describes it as "partial 16S ribosomal RNA". It matches the Rfam family "Bacterial small subunit ribosomal RNA", at positions 524 to 776 of the family's 1533-position model. The record is from RNAcentral.